UUCAAAGGUAAAAGGGUGAUGAAGAAAUGGCAUGUAUGAAAAGUUUUGUUCAUACAGUAUAAUUUUAAAGAACUUUCAGUUGUUCUAGUGAAACAGACAUUGAGUCAGUGUGAGUCUUUCUUCACACACUUGUUUCUUCCUGUUUGUGUCAUCUUCUAAAUCUGGUCGCGGUAAUGGGCUUAUUUGCUCACUCUUGAAGAAGACAGUAAGUGUGAACAUCCAGUUCACUGAUCAGACUGUUAAGAAUUAGAUUAUUCAGCAAACAUUAAGCAGAACAGGAGGAUGCAGCAAAUGGAAGUAACAGAGUAUGUUAAUGAGCGACCAAGACGUGAGCAGAAACGCAGUGGGGAUGCGUAUCGAACAGACAGAAGACGCUGUCGGCUGAUUUUCCUAAUAUUUGGCGUGUUGUGUAUGAUACAAGCCAUACUCAACGUUUCUCUACGCCUCUCAUUGUACAGGGGACCAAGUCAUUUGGAAUGCAACGCAACUGGUGUCAGUGAUCAGAAGAAGUACAACCUUCUUCAACAAAGAUUCAAUGCCUUGACCAGAGACCACAACCUGUGUGAAAACGGAAACACUGAACUGAACAACAGGAUAAGGAAUAUGGAGGAUGAUAUGAACAGGCUGAAGAAGCCUAACUGAAAGAAUUGAAAAAAUUCCUCUAAGUCUUCUUACUCACUUUUGUUUCCUUCAAUUCCUUCCUCCUUUACUUACUGAACCUUGAAUUGUGAUGUUUUUGUUUUGUUUUUUGGACAACCAAUGCCAUCUAGAACAGCAAAUACAAAAUAUGUAACCUGAUUAGCAUCAGAUGUUUUUUUGUGAUACUUGCACAAGGGGUUUUAGGCGAGAAAACAUUGUUUAAAUAUAUAAUUUAGAUAUCAAUAUGUCUUUAUAAUUGAUGAACGCAUUUGUAGUUGUAAGCUUUUAUGUACUUAUUCAAAUGUUUAAUGAAUAGAACACUUAAAUAAAGGAAUUGUCAAAAUUGAA
Molecule: long non-coding RNA, 987 nt
Organism: Gymnodraco acuticeps
Lineage: Eukaryota; Metazoa; Chordata; Actinopteri; Perciformes; Bathydraconidae
Exons: 3
Source: RefSeq, a predicted model, not a curated record